UUGCGUAGGUGGCAGAGUAAGUUGAUAGUGAAAGCGUCCGGCUCAACCGGAUACACAUUAUCAAAACUGCUCAGCUAGAGGACAAGAGAGGUUAUUGGAAUUCCUAGUGUAGGAGUGAAAUCCGUAGAUAUUAGGAGGAACACCGAUGGCGUAGGCAGAUAACUGGCUUGUUCCUGACACUAAGGCACGAAAGCAUGGGUAGCAAACG
RNAcentral lists this ribosomal RNA (208 nucleotides) under uncultured bacterium. RNAcentral's name for it is "partial 16S ribosomal RNA". It matches the Rfam family "Bacterial small subunit ribosomal RNA", at positions 567 to 774 of the family's 1533-position model. The record is from RNAcentral.